CCUACGGGAGGCAGCAGUGGGGAAUAUUGCACAAUGGGGGAAACCCUGAUGCAGCGACGCCGCGUGAGUGAAGAAGUAAUUCGUUAUGUAAAGCUCUAUCAGCAGGGAAGAAAAUGACGGUACCUGAGUAAGAAGCCCCGGCUAACUACGUCCCAGCAGCCGCGGUAAUACGUAGGGGGCAAGCGUUAUCCGGAUUUACUGGGUGUAAAGGGAGCGUAGACGGCAGUGCAAGUCUGGAGUGAAAGGCGGGGGCUCAACCCCCGAACUGCUCGGGAAACUGUACGGCUGGAGUGCAGGAGGGGUAGGGGGAUUUCGUGGUGGAGGGGUGAAAU
Molecule: ribosomal RNA, 332 nt
Filed under: uncultured bacterium
Lineage: Bacteria
Description: partial 16S ribosomal RNA
Rfam family: Bacterial small subunit ribosomal RNA
Source: RNAcentral